CCCGGAUCCCACGCGACCUCGGAGCUGCCGGCGGCCUCAGAGGUCACCCCCGUUUGGUCCGUGGGCACUGCAGGCGGCGCCUUCGCUGCUCCAUGCCCGGACUCAGUGCUCGAGCACCCCCGUGCCGGGAGCGCACCGCUGCCCUCGCAGCCGCCCUCCUGGGGGCAGCCGUCAGAAUGGCCUGCCUUCAGCCGAGUUGGAACCGGCCUCCCUUUAACUCCCACCGCCGGGCCUAGCCGUGCGAGGGGUGCGCGCAGGCCAUGUCCCCCAGCUCUCUCCGGUCACUGCCUAGUGUGCGGGCGUUGGUGGUGAGGACCGAGCGCAGGGUCCCGUGUGGGUGAGCCCUUCAGAGUCCCACUGUGACAGGGGCUUUCAGGGAGAACGGGUCCGCGGGCCCUCCCCACCUCCCAGCCCAGCUCUGCUCCUGGACAGCCGAGGGCUUUCUCCCUUUUUUCCUCUUACCACAAAAGUAAUUCAUACUGUAGAAAAAUGGGAAAGUACAGAAAUUACAACAAAAUACGUAUCUCCUUGAUCCCUCCCCAGACGAGUUCUUUCUACUCCGUAAUGUGCAUUUGGUGCAUAUGCACUGAUAUAUUUUUACGUGGUUAGAUUCUUACUGUACACUUUUUUCACCAGUUGUAGAAGUCUGUCCGUGUUACUACAUGUUCUGCAACAUGAAU
RNAcentral lists this long non-coding RNA (680 nucleotides) under Homo sapiens (human). RNAcentral's name for it is "LHRI_LNC900.1". Lineage: Eukaryota; Metazoa; Chordata; Mammalia; Primates; Hominidae. The record is from RNAcentral.